GCAAGUCGUGGGGCAGCAGGACUGUAGCAAUACAGUUGCUGGCGACCGGCAAACGGGUGCGGAACACGUACACAACCUUCCUUUAAGUGGGGAAUAGCCCGGGGAAACCCGGAUUAAUACCCCGUAAUAUAAUGAAGUGGCAUCACUUUAUUAUUAUAGCUCCGGCGCUUGAAGAUGGGUGUGCGACUGAUUAGGCAGUUGGCGGGGUAACGGCCCACCAAACCUACGAUCAGUAACUGGUGUGAGAGCACGACCAGUCACACGGGCACUGAGACACGGGCCCGACUCCUACGGGAGGCAGCAGUAAGGAAUAUUGGUCAAUGGACGCAAGUCUGAACCAGCCAUGCCGCGUGGAGGAUGAAGGUCCUCUGGAUUGUAAACUUCUUUUAUCUGGGAAGAAAUCCACGAAUUCUUUUGUGGUUGACGGUACCAGAUGAAUAAGCACCGGCUAACUCCGUGCCAGCAGCCGCGGUAAUACGGAGGGUGCAAGCGUUAUCCGGAUUCACUGGGUUUAAAGGGUGCGUAGGGUGGGUUGGUAAGUCAGUGGUGAAAUCUCCAGGCUUAACUUGGAAACUGCCAUUGAUACUAUCAAUCUUGAAUACCGUGGAGGUCAGCGGAAUAUGUCAUGUAGCGGUGAAAUGCUUAGAUAUGACAUAGAACACCAAUUGCGAAGGCAGCUGGCUACACGAAUAUUGACACUGAUGCACGAAAGCGUGGAGACCAAACAGGAUUAGAUACCCUGGUAGUCCACGCCCUAAACGAUGGAUACUCGACAUACGCGAUAUACUGUGUGUGUCUGAGCGAAAGCAUUAAGUA
This 816-nucleotide ribosomal RNA is filed under the name uncultured Sphingobacteriales bacterium. RNAcentral's name for it is "bacterial SSU rRNA". It matches the Rfam family "Bacterial small subunit ribosomal RNA", at positions 57 to 866 of the family's 1533-position model. Lineage: Bacteria; Pseudomonadati; Bacteroidota; Sphingobacteriia; Sphingobacteriales. The record is from RNAcentral.